This 432-nucleotide ribosomal RNA is filed under the name uncultured bacterium. RNAcentral describes it as "partial 16S ribosomal RNA". It matches the Rfam family "Bacterial small subunit ribosomal RNA", at positions 338 to 795 of the family's 1533-position model. The record is from RNAcentral.
CCUACGGGAGGCAGCAGUGGGGAAUAUUGGACAAUGGGCGCAAGCCUGAUCCAGCCAUACCGCGUGGGUGAAGAAGGCCUUCGGGUUGUAAAGCCCUUUUUGAAGACACGCGGUACCCAAAGAAUAAGCACCGGCUAACUUCGUGCCAGCAGCCGCGGUAAUACGAAGGGUGCAAGCGUUACUCGGAAUUACUGGGCGUAAAGCGUGCGUAGGUGGUCGUUUAAGUCCGUUGUGAAAGCCCUGGGCUCAACCUGGGAACUGCAGUGGAUACUGGGCGACUAGAGUGUGGUAGAGGGUAGCGGAAUUCCUGGUGUAGCAGUGAAAUGCGUAGAGAUCAGGAGGAACAUCCAUGGCGAAGGCAGCUACCUGGACCAAACUGACACUGAGGCACGAAAGCGUGGGGAGCAAACAGGAUUAGAUACCCUUGUAGUC